Molecule: RNA transcript, 2255 nt
Organism: Belonocnema kinseyi
Lineage: Eukaryota; Metazoa; Arthropoda; Insecta; Hymenoptera; Cynipidae
Exons: 3
Source: RefSeq, a predicted model, not a curated record
UGCAGGGAAGGGAUGGUCAUUUCCUUCAAUUCAGCUUUACAUCUUUGACAGCGCUAUAAAAUUUGCCAGAAAUUGUUCAACUACGGCUCGAGUAAGAUCGGUAAUUCGAAACUAGAAGGACUUUUAAAAAUUAAAUACAAAGGUGAAAUAGUUUUGUGAACUUCGUGGAUCAAUAAUCAUCAUGGCGAGUGUUUCACCAUUGUACUCUGAUAACAGUGUACAUUCUAGAAUGAAUAGAAGGUCAGGAAUAUACGACAUCGAUUUUUCCAAAAUGUCUAUUAAUUCUCCAGGACCCAAUCCUAUGAGACGAAAUUCCUCAGCAUCAUAUGUCAAUAGUGCGCUUGAAGCAAUUCCACGAGGUACAGGAAGUUCUACGCCUGAUUCUGAAUCUAGGAUCUUAAGGACUCCAGAACCGCGUCUUCAUAGACGAAAUUCACUAUCAGCAUCAAUGAGAAAAUUCCGAAGUAAGGUCACACAUGCCAUCGAUCGUCUGAAUGUUUCUUUUUCGGAAUAUAUGGCAGAACAUAGAGAACACAGAGAACAUACUGUUGCACCUACUGUAGUUUCCAAAGGCUCGCGGGCUAACAAGACCGUGGAGAAAAUCCUUUCUUCCGGAGGUAUUCGAAGAAAUAAAAUUGCACCCAAAAGUUCUCUGCUUCACACAUUUAAGCCAAAAAAUUUGUUUAAAAAACGCGGGAACGCAAAUAGUCAUGAUGUAGAUACAAUCAGCAGAUCAUCGUCUUGCUCAUCGUUACCAUCUUUAGCAUCCGUAGAUUAUCAUGUUCAACCUGCAGUGCCAAUGGAAACUGGAAGUGGGAGAGUUCUGAUUUACGAUGACCUUGAAAAGUCAGUAGUGUCACAUUCGUUUUCAGACUAUGCGUAUGAUGAUGUCAAAUUUACUGAAGAAGCCGAUGUUCAUCGAUCUGAAGAUUCAAAUUUUGACGCGAAUCAAAGCUGGGUUUCUCGAGUUUUUGAAGUUCCUGAAGAAAGUAAUCCCAAAUUUCAAGUUCAGAAGACCUUAUAUAGUUUAAAUUGUUCGCCGGAAAAGUCAGACGAAUCUUAUGAAUCGAGGAGUUCCUGUUCGAAGAUUGUCCAUCCAAGUUGGUCGAAUGAACAGCUGGACCACGCGGAAGGUGAUUAUGUGGUAAUUAAAAGAAACUGCCCCUGUCGUAUGCAAGAGGAAGAGGAGGCCAAAGUAUUUAAUUUGAAGAACAAAAAUAGUUUGAACUUGGAUGAAACUGACGAAUUCAUGAUGAUGAACCAGAAGGAGGAUGUCGAAAAGGCUAAUUCUUACGUAGUUUCGAUGUACGUUUAACUUCAGCAUCACUCUUUAAAAGUCAUAUAGGGGGGUCUGUCAGCCCCCACGAAACGUUGCAAAAGGGUGAAGUUUUGACAAAAUAAUUUUUGUGACCUGUCAAGGGGGUGUUUCUGGCUGUUUGGAUGUUUAAAAGUACCUAAACGUUUCGUGUGGAGAUAACGAUGUUGACAAGAAUACCUGAAAGGCGGAUUUUGAUGUUUGGAUGAUCCAUUGAGAUCAAGAAAAUAUAGCAUGCGAGCUACUAUGAAUUGAGCCAGUGGGCACAAUACUAUAAAAAGACCAAGAACGUCCUUGGGACGUUUCUGUGACGUCCUAUGACCUAUGUCAGGCCAGUCAACGUAUUUAAGACCUACGCUGGUCAAAACACGUGUUAUACAAGACGUCUCUAGGACAUCCUAAAUUUUUUUGCUCACGGGGAGUAGCUGAAUUUUCUCUCUACACAUUUGAUUCUUGUAAUCAUAACAUACGGCUUUACUAAUUUUUAUAAUCAGAUAUACUUCAAGUUUAAUCUAUAAAGCAAAACGAGCAAAAAAAUGCGUGUAUGAUAUAAAUUGCGAAUUUUUUAUGUUUAAUAUUUAGCAUAAAUAUAACAUUAAUUAUUCAUGAAUUAACCAUUGACGGUCACUUUAAAAAUGUUUCAUAUUGAAUUAUUUAUCCUAAAUAUUAUUUUUUGACGUAAAGUUUUACGUUUUUAAAAUGUAUAUAUUUUUAGUAUGCGUAAUCUUAGGCUUUAUCUAGCCUAGCAUUAACUGGUCAACGAUCAUAACAUUUUCUACCAUUUUAUUGUAGAAUAUUUACAGUUAAAAGUUACAUUCAAUUUUUCAAUAUUACAUAAAUUAUUUCGUAUGCAUCAAUAUAUAUAGUGCCUUUAUUAAUACAAUAGCGUGUAUGUGCCUUUGUGUGAAAAAUAUUUUAAAAACUCCUUUAGAAAUGGAAA